GAUGAACGCUGGCGGCGUGCCUAAUACAUGCAAGUAGAACGCUGAAGGAAGGAGCUUGCUCUUUCCGGAUGAGUUGCGCACGGGUGAGUAACGCGUAGGUAACCUGCCUGGUAGCGGGGGAUAACUAUUGGAAACGAUAGCUAAUACCGCAUAACAGUAGAUGUUGCAUGAUAUCUACUUAAAAGGUGCAAUUGCACCACUACCAGAUGGACCUGCGUUGUAUUAGCUAGUUGGUGAGGUAACGGCUCACCAAGGCGACGAUACAUAGCCGACCUGAGAGGGUGAUCGGCCACACUGGGACUGGGACACGGCCCAGACUCCUACGGGAGGCAGCAGUAGGGAAUCUUCGGCAAUGGACGGAAGUCUGACCGUGCAACGCCGCGUGAGUGAAGAAGGUUUUCGGAUCGUAAAGCUCUGUUGUAAGAGAAGAACGAGUGUGAGAGUGGAAAGUUCACACUGUGACGGUAUCUUACCAGAAAGGGACGGCUAACUACGUG
This 497-nucleotide ribosomal RNA is filed under the name uncultured bacterium. RNAcentral's name for it is "partial 16S ribosomal RNA". It matches the Rfam family "Bacterial small subunit ribosomal RNA", at positions 28 to 507 of the family's 1533-position model. The record is from RNAcentral.